AUUGAACGCUGGCGGAAGGCCUAACACAUGCAAGUCGAGCGAGCGGCGGACGGGUGAGUAAUGUCUGGGAAACUGCCUGAUGGAGGGGGAUAACUACUGGAAACGGUAGCUAAUACCGCAUACCAUCAGAUGUGCCCCGCUGGGGUUAGCUAGUAGGUGGGGUAACGCCUCACCUAGGCGACGAUCCCUAGCUGGUAGGAGUGGAUGACCAGGCACACCUGAACUGAGACACGGGCCAGCCUCCUACGGGAGGCAGCAGUGGGGAAUAUUGCACAAUGGGCGCAAGCCUGAUGCAGCCAUGCCGCGGGUGUGAAGAAGGCCUUCGGGUUGUAAAGCACUUUCAGCGGGGAGGCGUUACCCGCAGAAGAAUCACCGGCUGACUCCGUGCCGGCCACCGCGGUAAUUC
RNAcentral lists this ribosomal RNA (406 nucleotides) under uncultured bacterium. RNAcentral describes it as "partial 16S ribosomal RNA". It matches the Rfam family "Bacterial small subunit ribosomal RNA", at positions 30 to 526 of the family's 1533-position model. The record is from RNAcentral.